UACGUAGGGAGCAAGCGUUGUCCGGAUUUACUGGGUGUAAAGGGUGCGUAGGCGGUUCUGCAAGUCAGUUGUGAAAACUAUGGGCUUAACCCAUAGCCUGCAAUUGAAACUGUGGGACUUGAGUGAAGUAGAGGUAGGUGGAAUUCCCGGUGUAGCGGUGAAAUGCGUAGAGAUCGGGAGGAACACCAGUGGCGAAGGCGGCCUACUGGGCUUUAACUGACGCUGAAGCACGAAAGCAUGGGUAGCCAACAGGAUUAGAUACCCUGGUAGUCCACGCUGUAAACGAUGUCGACUUGGAGGUUGUUCCCUUGAGGAGUGGCUUCCGGAGCUAACGCGUUAAGUCGACCGCCCGGGGAGUACGGCCGCAAGGUUAAA
Molecule: ribosomal RNA, 375 nt
Filed under: uncultured bacterium
Lineage: Bacteria
Description: bacterial SSU rRNA
Rfam family: Bacterial small subunit ribosomal RNA
Source: RNAcentral